CCGAAAUAAACUUAAUUGAGGGGGUUUUAUGUUAAAAAUCCUUCUAAUUUCAACGGAAAAAUAUUGGGGAUAUUCUGAUUAUAUGCAAAUUUGAUAUUAUUUUAAAAUUUUCUUCAAAUGUCAACUAUUUUCAUAAAUACUUUAAGUUUAUGAUUAAAAAGACUAAACUAAUAAUCUAUUAUUAUAAAAAAAAUUUUGCUCACUCCCAAAGCCUCCACCUCAGAAAGUCGAAGUCUCUUGUGUCGACACGUGUCCUUUAUAUACAAAACACAACGCUUCAUUAAUUCGCGACUCAAUGUGUAUUGAGCUUUAUCUAUUAUCUUUAUGACGAUGAGUUUAUGGGCUCUGGAAACUGGCCCAAUAGGCCAAAUGAUUCAGCCGUAACUGAGCUUUACGCAUGAAACUUCUCUGUCAUUCCACAUCAUUGCGUAGCUUGAGUUCUAUGAGCGUUAUUUCAUCUUCUUCCUUAUCAAUUCGAACAGCUACCAGUUACAGAUUAAACCCCUUCAAAUCCUUCUUAAAUCCAUACACUAUUGUUGGGGAAAAAUACUCCGAUAUAAUAAUUUCCCAAGUCCUGGGCAGGACAUCGGCCUCCAGGUCCCUGUUGAGCAGGGUCCAGGUCUCUACCGAGAAAGAUCCAGGUUUCAGCCCCUGCUUUUGUCCCUGUCUCCAGGUAAAAUGAAAGUUUUCUACUAAGAUGGAUUCUUCCAUAUUUUCGAAUAUGAAAGAGUUUAACCUACUUUGACCGACCUAUACAAGAUUAUAUAAAGGGAGCCUAUACCCUAGAACAAGGAAUCGACAUUCAGAAACUAAGAGAUUAGAGCUAUGCGGCUAGAACUAAGGUUUAUACACCAAACGUUGUAGUUUCUACUCAAUUCAUCAAUAAAAUAUCUUUUAGUCUCGAUUUCUCUUGAUUUUCUCUAGUUCUUCUAUUGUUCUGUGGUACUAAAAGACUCUUUUAUCAUCUCCUGAUUCAUAUGACAUUUUGGUAAAUUUAUAUGCUUUAAUGUUCUAAAUGCUAUCUCAAAUCGAUGUCAUAUAGAUGUUGCUUUAUAAUUCUAAAAAAAAAUACAAUAUAUUGUUUUCCAUGACAGAACAAAAAAAAGAGAAAGAAAUCAUCACUUAGUCUGACUAUUUGUGUCAUCUUUAUAUUGUUUCCUAAUUAAAAACAAACUUUUGACAAAAGGUAAACUUUAUAUAAAUUUACAAAGAUGGAAUUAUUCUGAAUUUUGUAAAGAUUUUUUUGAAGAAGUUAAGAUAUCUGGAAAAAAAAGUCAUUGGCUUAGUUCUAAAGCAUGAACAAAAAAUAUAUUAAAUUUUAGUUACUUAUUGGUUAUUAUUUAGCCCAUUUUUAAAAAUGUACACCAAUAAAUAAAUUUAAUUAUUUUCAAUUUUACCAUAAGAAAGUAUAUAUAUGUAUAUCAAAUUAUUAAAUCUCCAAUGGAAAAAUAACAUUUGACACAAAAGGAAAUCCAAUUUAAAAAUAUUUGUGGCAAUUUAGUUAUUAUAAAAUAACUGAUCACGUCUUCAAUCCAAAAUAUUCGCCAACUAUAUAACAAACAAACACUCUCUUCUUCUCAUCUCUCAACCUCCCCUCCCCCAGAUCAUAAAAUCUCCACGUCAGCAAAACUCCGUCGCAAACUCGCCGGAGAAACCGAGAAACUUUACCAUCAUGAUUCCGUACGGAACGGUUGAGGAAGCUUCCUUCGCGCUCGGAAGAAACCUCACGUGGUUGGAGACAGUUUGGUUCGAUUACUCCGCCACAAAGUCCGACUACUAUCUCUACUGCCACAACAUUCUCUUCCUAUUCCUCGUCUUUUCUCUGGCUCCUAUCCCUCUGGUUUUCGUCGAACUGGCUCGAUCCGUUUCUGGGUGGUUCGACCGGUACAAGAUCCAACCCAAAGUAAACUACUCCUUGUCCGACAUGUUCGGUUGUUACAAAGACGUCAUGAAGAUGUUCAUCCUCGUCGUUGGUCCAUUACAACUCGUUUCUUAUCCUUCCAUUCAGAUGAUUGGGAUACGAUCUGGGUUACCAUUACCAACACUUUCAGAGAUGCUGCCACAGUUGUUCGUCUACUUCUUGAUAGAAGACUACACAAACUAUUGGGUACAUAGAUUUUUCCACAGUAAGUGGGGAUACGAGAACAUUCAUCGUGUUCAUCACGAAUACACAGCUCCUAUUGGAUACGCUGCACCUUAUGCACAUUGGGCUGAAGUGUUGCUUCUUGGAAUCCCAACGUUUAUGGGACCAGCGAUUGCUCCUGGUCACAUGAUAACCUUUUGGUUGUGGAUAGCCUUAAGGCAAAUUGAGGCUAUAGAGACUCACAGUGGAUAUGAUUUUCCAUGGAGUCCAACAAAAUACAUCCCUUUCUAUGGUGGUGCUGAGUACCAUGACUACCAUCACUACGUUGGAGGACAAAGCCAGAGCAACUUCGCUUCAGUUUUUACCUAUUGUGAUUACAUUUAUGGAACUGACAAGGGUUACCGAUUCCAAAAGAAGCUUCUUGAGCAGAUCAAAGAGUCGUCCAAGAAGAGCAACAAGCAUAACGGAGGAAUCAAGUCCGACUAGUAAAUGAAAAUAUGGUUCUGAUGAAGAAGUUACGCCUGGAGAAGAUAUAGCUCACAUGAAACCUGCUGCUUCCGACAAAUGUGGGUCAUGAUAUAUAAGUGUGUCGGGACCGGGUUUUGCUCUUUUCUCGCAUUUUAUUUGGUUUAUUUUGCUUCGUGUUGGAGAAGGAAGAAUAUGUCAUCAAAGCCGUGUGUGUUCUUCUUAUUAAAAUGUAUUUGAUUAACCUUUGCUCGUACUUAAUACUUAUCACUACUUUGCUAAAUAGUAAUAGUAAUAAUAUAUAAGUUAUAUAUCCAUAACAAUCAUCAAGCCCGUCUAGCUCAGUUGGUAGAGCGCAAGGCUCUUAACCUUGUGGUCGUGGGUUCGAGCCCCACGGUGGGCGAUACUCUUUUUUGCUUUGAUAUUGUACCAAACUUCGAGAGGGCUUCAAAAAGGCAAAUCCAUUAUAGGUUGUUAAGGAUUGUGUGAACAAAAAAAGAAAACUAUCCUUGUAAGAAUCCCAAACUCCGAGAGGGCUUCAAAAAGGCAAAUCCAUUAGGUUGUUUUAACUAUACAAGGGUAGUUU
Brassica rapa (field mustard) is the source of this 3134-nucleotide RNA transcript. It is a transcript of the gene named methylsterol monooxygenase 1-1, with no coding region annotated. The record is from RefSeq and is a predicted model, not a curated record. Lineage: Eukaryota; Viridiplantae; Streptophyta; Magnoliopsida; Brassicales; Brassicaceae.